Molecule: unclassified non-coding RNA, 1174 nt
Organism: Stylophora pistillata
Lineage: Eukaryota; Metazoa; Cnidaria; Anthozoa; Scleractinia; Pocilloporidae
Source: RefSeq, a predicted model, not a curated record
AACCCAUUGGAAUUUUUUGAUAAAAACCAAAAACCAUGUGAAAAGAAAUGGAAAAUCUGCAAACUGGAAUGAGCACCAAAACCGAAAAGCAGAUUUUUUUCGGCUAAAAACUGGAAACCAUGUUAAAAGAAAUGGAAAAUCUGCAAACUGGAAUGAGCACGAAAACCGAAAAGCAGAUUUUUUUUCGGCUAAAAACUGAAAACCAGUCUAAAAAAUAGCCAAAACUGCAAGACCAGAAAUCCCAAUGCCCCUCCUCAUUGUGAUUUGAACUUUUUAAAUCUCAUAGUUGCUGUUGAAGUUAGGCCUGUCCCCUAAGGUUUUAUAGCUGCUGAAUGUUCAGUGUGUUUCUAGUGGGUGUAAAUGGGUGCUUUAGAAAAGACUGAAUGUCUAAUGUGUUUCUAGUGGGUGUAACGGGUGCUUUAGAAAAGACUGAAUGUCUAAUGUGUUUCUAGUGGGUGUAAUGGGUACUUUAGAAAAGACUUACUCUGUCACUUCCACAACUCUGCAUGUUCAGCUUUACUCUUAUCUUUGCUAGUAAUUAAAAUUACAACUCAGUUGUGAAGUUACGUCCCUAACAUUGAUGAUGUUUUUUAGGAUAGACGACCCUCCACCUGUCUUUGAAACUUUCCCACGACAACAGAUGGCCUUUGAUUACCUCAAGACCUGUCAAGAGGUAGAAUGUUCAUGUGUUUGCCAAAGAGAAAGACUGUGACGGAAAACUUGGCUAUAUUGUCGCAACUUUACCAUAUUUUUGGUACAAAUACACAAGGUGUAAGAAAAGUGCAGGUCAUCUCAGAGGGAUGGGGUGCACAUCUCCUGCAUCCCUGCCCUGGAUCUCUCCCCUACAAGGCAUGGUAUAUUUAAAACUUCUGGCAGUGCAAAAGCUUGGUGGGAAGGGUAGGUGAAGCUGACCAAAGAAGAGUUCAACUGACCUUUAUACAGAUCCUAAAUUCAAAAUGACCAAAUAGCUUGAAAUGAAGAAAGUUGAUGCAAGUGCAAAAAAACAAACACACAAAUGAACAGACAAACAAAAACCUUAUUCUUUCCUUGUCAUUCCUGAUAUUUCUUUUUUGAACUUGGUAGGAUAUGUUCACCAGAGGACAGAAAUUAUUAUGAAGUUAUACCAGAAGGUACUCUUAAAUCUGUGUAUAAUUUAAUUGUUUAAUACAUAUUU